RNAcentral lists this ribosomal RNA (466 nucleotides) under uncultured Syntrophus sp. RNAcentral's name for it is "bacterial SSU rRNA". It matches the Rfam family "Bacterial small subunit ribosomal RNA", at positions 916 to 1381 of the family's 1533-position model. The record is from RNAcentral. Lineage: Bacteria; Pseudomonadati; Thermodesulfobacteriota; Syntrophia; Syntrophales; Syntrophaceae.
GACGGGGCCCGCACAAGCGGUGGAGCAUGUGGUUAAUUCGAUGCAACGCGAAGACCUUACCUGGGCUUGACAUCCCGAGAAUCCCCUGGAAACAGGGAGUGCCCUUCGGGGAGCUCGGAGACAGGUGCUGCAUGGCUGUCGUCAGCUCGUGUCGUGAGAUGUUGGGUUAAGUCCCGCAACGAGCGCAACCCUUGUCUUUAAUUGCCAUCAUUGAGUUGGGCACUUUAAAGAGACUGCCGGUGUUAAACCGGGGGAAGGUGGGAUGACGUCAAGUCCUCAUGGCCUUUAUGUCCAGGGCUACACACGUGUUACAAUGGCCGGUACAGAGGGCAGCUACCUGGAGACAGGAUGCGAAUCUCGAAAGCCGGUCUCAGUUCGGAUCGGAGUCUGCAACUCGACUCCGUGAAGCUGGAUUCGCUAGUAAUCGCGCAUCAGCCAUGGCGCGGUGAAUACGUUCCCGGGCCUU